UGCAUUGUCAGUAUGAUUACCCAACAUGACCCCAGAGUUUGAACCACAUGAACAGUGAAGGAAUAAGGUGGCUAUCUGGAUGUGGGUGACCACCUACAGUGAAAACCAGGCCUCAGAACUAACAUUCCUGGUUGCCAGAAUCUACCAGCCAAUCAGAAACUUGCAGUUUCUGAAUCCUAAGGAUUGCCAAGUUACAUCUGCACCUUGGGGGAUCUAGCACUGAGGUGGUGAAAGAUAAUUCAUGGAUGCAAGAUUAAAUUGUUUCAGAAUGCCCAGAGAUCCAGGGAAAAGGAAGAAUCAGUCCCCAUCAAAAUUAAUUUUUGCAAGUGAUUACCUCUUAUAAUUACAUUUUCGUCCAGUUGCUUUUAAAAAUGAAGAUUGUGAAUGUGAAAAAAAAUCACUAGAUUAAAGAUGAUCAAACAUGG
Rhincodon typus (whale shark) is the source of this 425-nucleotide long non-coding RNA. RefSeq lists it as uncharacterized. The record is from RefSeq and is a predicted model, not a curated record. Lineage: Eukaryota; Metazoa; Chordata; Chondrichthyes; Orectolobiformes; Rhincodontidae. The transcript is spliced from 3 exons.